CUCAGUGCCAGGCCCGAGACGUUGCUAAGUGCUAUGGAAUAGCUGUUAUGCUGCUCUCCAGUCCCACAGAGAACAGCUACUGACUUCGCAGCGGGCCAACCCGGGGAGAGCAAGGGUCAGCCAGCUCCGGAGUGUAUAAAACAGCGGGAAGGAAGAAGAGCGAGAAACGCCUCUCCGAUAAAUCACCGAGCUGUCCAGGGUGAGCAGUGCCCUUGAGCAUUAAAUUUAGAGUUGCAGGCAGUGCCUUGCCAUAGAUUUGAACUCUGGUGGAAAAGCCCCUUGAGGGAGAAGAAGCAAGUUGGAGACAAGUGCUAAUGGCGGCACAGCACAGAAGCAAAUUGCCCAUCAAAUGGGACGACUUAGUGUUGCAGGAGCAUUUGCAGGAAAAAAAAAAAAAGGAGAAAGCAGAAAUCAUCCAAUACUGGCUGCCCUUGAUUUAGGUUGCUUUCAGCAGAUUCACGUGGGAAUGCGGAUUCUCUCUGGUGCUCAGGGAGUUUGUAAUAACACUGUCCAGACUCAACUUGCCUUAACACUCCCACAGUGUCUUAGCAAUAUGAAAGCGAGAAAAGGAGGGCUGUGCAGUGAAGGGGUUUCUGACGUUGGGAUAAGAGUUGAUAGGAUCCUUUUGAAUAUACGCACAAAGCCCGCACCGAUUCACAAUGAUGCAAAAGUUGAUCUCAUUGCUUGGGGGACCCAGCGCUAGCAGGUUGCCCUGCACACCCUGCACGUGAUUGGUUCCUGGAGAAGGUCAGCUCCGAGGAGCAAGUGAUUGGCUGCUUCCACUGAAGGCCCAGCUCUAUCAUAUUUACAAAGACAGCAUUACCCAGAACCUAAGGAUUCUGGCCUCCAACAAGAAAUAUCUGGGCUGAAGGUUACUGACUCACUUGGAUCAUUUGAAAAGAUUCUGCUUGCUUUGUAUUUUUAAUAAAGGGUCAGAUAAGAUUGGCUCACCCUCCUUUCUGCCUUGCAUAUUGAUUUGAGUCAUUAAUUUUGGGCCAGCUUUUAGCUUGAUUGAAGCCCACAUCCAUGACCAAAAGACUUGUUCUUCGCUUUUACGAAUGCCAAAUACCUUUCAUCUACAACCCAUUCCCUAGCUGAAGUCCCCAAGCCAUUGAGGAAAGAGAAAAAUGAAGAACAGCAACGAUGCACAAGGGUUGCUCCAGGCUCUGAUUGUUAUUGGUUCAUUUGGGGUCAGUGAACUGGAUCAUGCUUAAUGAUGCACUAAGUUUUGAUUCCAGGAGAAAUGAUAAUCAGCGAGUUUUAAGAUGCAGAUGCCCCCAACUGUAACAACAUAUUAAAACAGUCCCAGAAAUGGAAAAAAAAACAAAAAAACUCUCAUUGGACCAUCAUGGUUUUGUAAAAGAGAAAACAAAUAACUGGUAACUCAUGCAGCCAGCUCCUAAUUCCUGUUGAGUAUUAUUUUUUCCUUUCUUUCUUUUAAAAAGAAGUGUGGCAUCCCUGAAUGAUGGGAUACACGCUUUUGUUCUGCCUUCUAUAUCACUGAGGGAGGUAGCAGAACUAUUUGUACCUGAAAGAGUUUGCAUUUCCCUAAGUGCACCUAUCUGGGUAGAAAACUGCAUUUCCUCCUGCAAACCCCACCGUCCCGAAAAUCUGCUUUGCCCUGUCAUUUCCUCAAGGUCACCUUGCUGUUUCCACUUCUCCCUUCUUCAGCCUUUGAUACACAUCUUUACAGGGUGCCCUCACUAAAAGGGCUUCUCCCCUCUUCAGUUUUGUCAUAGAUGUAUUACUGAGCUGUUGAAUUAAAAAGCCCUAAAACAGACCACCCCCCCCCCCACCACCAAUAUGCCCCAUAGAGUCGAUGUAGCUUUUACAUUUACUAUUCUCACCUACAGAAUCGUAUUUGGAAACAGCUUAGAAUCAAUUUCCCCACAUGUUGUACUUCCAUUUCAUUUGCCCCAAAACCUUUUUUAAAUUGCUGACUUCAGAGAUGGGGGAGGAUGUUUGUCAACUGCCCUUCCUUCCCUGCCUCCCAAUCCCCGCCCCCUCCCGCAUCUCUGAAAUCUGACCCUCUCUUUUUUCCCUACCCUCCCUUUCUCCCGGUCUCUUGGGGGUGAUACAGUCUUUCCUCUACUUAUUCAUUUUUUCCCCACUGUGGCCAAAAGCAGAAUGUAAUGCACUGCUCUGGCACGCUGUCUCUCUUACUCUUUCUCUCACCUAGUUUUACAUUUUCCCCACCUGUUUUUCUUGGUACUCAAGUUUUCCAGGAAUUCCAGGAAACUUUCACUCAAGCUGUUGAGUGUGUAUUCCUCCAGGCUGCCAAGAGGCCCGCUCUAGGUGGGUUCUCCCCAGGUCCCCAAGUACUUUGACUAACGAAACUGCUGACCGGGAGCUAAUUUAUCACUCUGUUAUCACUAUGUUAGGGCAUGAGAGAACCGGACCUCGAGUGAGUUAGGGACCCUUCCAGGGCCCCGUGCAUCCUCCAUGUGAA
Molecule: non-coding RNA, 2449 nt
Organism: Equus caballus (horse)
Lineage: Eukaryota; Metazoa; Chordata; Mammalia; Perissodactyla; Equidae
Source: RefSeq, a predicted model, not a curated record